RNAcentral lists this ribosomal RNA (484 nucleotides) under uncultured bacterium. Its description in RNAcentral is "partial 16S ribosomal RNA". It matches the Rfam family "Bacterial small subunit ribosomal RNA", at positions 30 to 507 of the family's 1533-position model. The record is from RNAcentral.
AUUGAACGCUGGCGGCAGGCCUAACACAUGCAAGUCGAGCGGAUGAAGGGAGCUUGCUCCUGGAUUCAGCGGCGGACGGGUGAGUAAUGCCUAGGAAUCUGCCUGGUAGUGGGGGAUAACGUCCGGAAACGGGCGCUAAUACCGCAUACGUCCUGAGGGAGAAAGUGGGGGAUCUUCGGACCUCACGCUAUCAGAUGAGCCUAGGUCGGAUUAGCUAGUUGGUGGGGUAAAGGCCUACCUAGGCGACGAUCCGUAACUGGUCUGAGAGGAUGAUCAGUCACACUGGAACUGAGACACGGUCCAGAGUCCUACGGGAGGCAGCAGUGGGGAAUAUUGGACAGUGGGCGAAAGCCUGAUCCAGCCAUGCCGCGUGUGUGAAGAAGGUCUUCGGAUUGUAAAGCCCUUUAAGUUGGGAGGAAGGGCAGUAAGUUAAUACCUUGCUGUUUUGACGUUACCAACAGAAUAAGCACCGGCUAACUUCGUG